RNAcentral lists this small nuclear RNA (63 nucleotides) under Gavia stellata (red-throated loon). RNAcentral describes it as "U2 spliceosomal RNA". It matches the Rfam family "U2 spliceosomal RNA", at positions 1 to 74 of the family's 192-position model. Rfam says of the family: U2 is a small nuclear RNA (snRNA) component of the spliceosome (involved in pre-mRNA splicing). The record is from Rfam by way of RNAcentral. Lineage: Eukaryota; Metazoa; Chordata; Aves; Gaviiformes; Gaviidae.
AUCGCUUCUCGGCCUUUUCGCUAAGAUCAAGUGUAGUAUCUGUUUUUUUUGCAGAUGACACCA